AUUGAACGCUGGCGGCAUGCCUUACACAUGCAAGUCGAAUGGCAGCACGGGGGCAACCCUGGUGGCGAGUGGCGAACGGGUGAGUAAUACAUCGGAACGUGCCCCGUAGCGGGGGACAACCAGUCGAAAGACUGGCUAAUACCGCAUACGCUCCACGGAGGAAAGCAGGGGAUCGCAAGACCUUGCACUAUGGGAGCGGCCGAUGCCCGAUUAGCUAGUUGGGAGGUAAAGGCUCACCAAGGCAACGAUCGGUAGCUGGUCUGAGAGGACGACCAGCCACACUGGGACUGAGACACGGCCCAGACUCCUACGGGAGGCAGCAGUGGGGAAUUUUGGACAAUGGGCGCAAGCCUGAUCCAGCCAUGCCGCGUGCGGGAAGAAGG
This 383-nucleotide ribosomal RNA is filed under the name uncultured bacterium. RNAcentral describes it as "bacterial SSU rRNA". It matches the Rfam family "Bacterial small subunit ribosomal RNA", at positions 29 to 414 of the family's 1533-position model. The record is from RNAcentral.